AGAAGGACGUUGUUAUCCAUUACUGAGGCUGACAACCAGUUAUGUAGUGUUUUGGCGUAUUGAAAUCUACAAGAGACGUGAUUGUGCUAACAGUGCGCCCUGGGGAUGAUGCCACCCACCCUCUCGUGAAAAAGCCGACCAGACCAGACCAACGAGCAUACUCUUUGCUGCCCCUGCUUCUCCCAGACUGCCUACCAACCCCUCACUAGUCCAGCAUCGGGGAAACCCAACGCAUCAAGAGAGAGAACAGUGUCUGGAUACAUAGACGAAUGAAGAUCACCUCUCUCUCAGCUCUCAUGGCUCCAUUUCUGCUCCUGUUGUUCCUUCUGUCUGGAGCAGCUUCUGACCUGAUUGAGGUAACAGUGGACCCUGGAGAUGAUGUUAUUCUACCAUGUCGGGCUGCUGGUUCCUUCAUCAUAGCUGUAGAGUGGACCAGACCUGACCUGAAGCACCCAGAUCAAACCAGGCGGGGUCAUCUUGACCCCAGAGGACAACAGGUGUAAGACAUCCAGGAGGACAUUAGGAGAGUUAAGGACAGGGUGGAGCUGGUGGACCGAG
This is a long non-coding RNA of Perca flavescens (yellow perch), 558 nucleotides long. RefSeq lists it as uncharacterized. The record is from RefSeq and is a predicted model, not a curated record. NCBI's taxonomy places the organism in Eukaryota, Metazoa, Chordata, Actinopteri, Perciformes, Percidae. The transcript has 5 exons.